UACGUAGGGGGCUAGCGUUGUCCGGAAUCAUUGGGCGUAAAGAGCGUGUAGGCGGCCCGGUAAGUCCGCUGUGAAAGUCGGGGGCUCAACCCUCGAAUGCCGGUGGAUACUGUCGGGCUAGAGUGCGGAAGAGGCGAGUGGAAUUCCUGGUGUAGCGGUGAAAUGCGCAGAUAUCAGGAGGAACACCAAUUGCGAAGGCAGUUCUCUGGGCAACAACUGACGCUGAGGAGCGAAAGCGUGGGGAGCGAACAGG
This 253-nucleotide ribosomal RNA is filed under the name uncultured bacterium. RNAcentral describes it as "partial 16S ribosomal RNA". It matches the Rfam family "Bacterial small subunit ribosomal RNA", at positions 524 to 776 of the family's 1533-position model. The record is from RNAcentral.